Molecule: long non-coding RNA, 154 nt
Organism: Nicrophorus vespilloides
Lineage: Eukaryota; Metazoa; Arthropoda; Insecta; Coleoptera; Silphidae
Exons: 2
Source: RefSeq, a predicted model, not a curated record
CUCAGUUAUCCCGAAGGAUGUUCCUGUUGGAUUCUUACUCAGUCACUGCAGACUCCUAGGAUUGUGCGGUGCUCCUCCCGCUCUUUGUCUUGUUUAAAUAGUUAAUUUAAAAACCUUUCCAACAUGUCCGACGAAGAAGAAGUUUACUCGUAAG